RNAcentral lists this ribosomal RNA (492 nucleotides) under uncultured bacterium. Its description in RNAcentral is "partial 16S ribosomal RNA". It matches the Rfam family "Bacterial small subunit ribosomal RNA", at positions 29 to 507 of the family's 1533-position model. The record is from RNAcentral.
AGUGAACGCUGGCGGUAGGCCUAACACAUGCAAGUCGAACGGCAGCACAGUAGGAGCUUGCUCUUACGGGUGGCGAGUGGCGGACGGGUGAGGAAUACAUCGGAAUCUACUUUUUCGUGGGGGAUAACGUAGGGAAACUUACGCUAAUACCGCAUACGACCUACGGGUGAAAGCAGGGGAUCUUCGGACCUUGCGCGAUUGAAUGAGCCGAUGUCGGAUUAGCUAGUUGGCGGGGUAAAGGCCCACCAAGGCGACGAUCCGUAGCUGGUCUGAGAGGAUGGUCGGACGCGCUAGAAGUGGAACAAGGUACAGACUACGAAGGUAGGGAGCAGUCGGGAAUCGUGGGCAAAGGGGGGCAGCGUGAUGGAACCCCGGAGCGUGGGAGAAGAAGAGCUUCGGGUUGUUACACCGUUUUUUUAGGGAAAAACAAAAGGAGAAUACCACCUAACUGGCUUGACGGUACCGAAUAAAGAAGAACCGGCUAACUACGUG